AUUGAACGCUGGCGGAAUGCUUUACACAUGCAAGUCGAACGGCAGCACGGGGCAACCUGGUGGCGAGUGGCGAACGGGUGAGUAAUACAUCGGAACGUGCCCAAUCGUGGGGGAUAACGUAGCGAAAGUUACGCUAAUACCGCAUACGAUCUACGGAUGAAAGCGGGGGAUCGCAAGACCUCGCGCGAAUGGAGCGGCCGAUGUCAGAUUAGGUAGUUGGUGGGGUAAAGGCUCACCAAGCCAACGAUCUGUAGCUGGUCUGAGAGGACGAUCAGCCACACUGGAACUGAGACACGGUCCAGACUCCUACGGGAGGCAGCAGUGGGGAAUUUUGCGCAAUGGGCGAAAGCCUGACGCAGCGACGCCGCGUGUGCGAUGAAGGCCUUUGGGUCGUAAAGCACUGUCGACAGGGACGAAAGCUCGCUGGCUAAUAUCCGGCGAGGUUGACGGUACCUGUAAAGGAAGCACCGGCUAACUCUGUG
Molecule: ribosomal RNA, 482 nt
Filed under: uncultured bacterium
Lineage: Bacteria
Description: bacterial SSU rRNA
Rfam family: Bacterial small subunit ribosomal RNA
Source: RNAcentral